CCAGGUCUGGGGCAGAGGUUCUCACUGGUCCCUAGGGGAGAGAGCCAUUCCACCCAGGCUCUUCACGGCGUACACUAUAUGCAGAGUAGUCAGAUUCAGGAUCAUCGCUGCAGGAGACACAGAAAGAUUCAAAGACGUUACUAAUGUCAAGCAACUUCUUUUUGCUGUUCCUGCCCUGAUCCCUGUGUCCUUCGUUACCCUCAUCCCCUUUCUGACUGAGGCUUCCUGGGUGCCAGAGCAUGUAGUGUGUGAAGCGCAGAGUGCUGCAGGCUCCCCCUCCUGAACCCCCCAGGGAGAGGAGGUGUUUCCGUGUCAACCCAGGAUACCGGCUGGCUAUGCUUUCUGUCCUGCAGUCCAAGAGACUGAACACUAGUUUCCAGGCUCAAUGGCAAGUACUCUCACCUGAUAAAUGCCCCCACCCCACCCCACAGCAUCAAGUGAUAUCAGUGGCUGUUUCCUGAGAUGCAGUUGAUCAGCACUUCCAAAGAAGCAGAAACAAGCAAUUGUAACUCUCACAGCAACCCGGCAAAGAUGAACAGAAGAUAAGAGCUGGGGUGGCCUCCAGCACACUUCCUGUUGGCCGGACCUGUAGCAGGGCAAACAGGGAGGCUCCUGCUGUGUCUCAGUGAGACAGGACACAGUCAUCCUGGACCUGGACAGGAAAGUGACCCAGUGACCCUUGGAAGUUUAAGUCCAGGUGUUAUGGCCCAUCUUCCUACCAUGUCAAGUCAGACAGCACCUGAGUCCUCCCAGCUGUGCUCCUGAAGGAAGACACGGGCAUGCUCUGUUAAGUUUGAGCUUGUGGCACCAUGACACUGGACACUCUUUUGCCAAAUUGCUACGCUGUUGGAUCCCUUUCAGACAGAGCUAUUUCAAAUAAGAAUGCUGAGCUAGAACAACACGAACGACCCGGUGUAUAGCCUUGCUCCUUCCCCAGAUACGGACCUGGAUCUUUCUGGAAUCUUACAAACAUGAUCUCUUCAUUUACAGUAACAAAACCAAACGAACACCUUAACUUUUCCUGCAACCUGUGACCCAGGGCUUUACUCCAGCUGUGAUCACAUCUGUUCUAUGAACUACUUUAUAUCAUCCAAGGUAGACUAUACACAAGACUAUUGUAAAGACACUGAAACGUGACUCUCUGGAGAAGUCCACACACUCACCCCGGGUGUGUUUGAACCUUUCCUGAAGUGUCUCUAUUAACCUCUGUAUUAAAAUCUAGGCUAAGGUCUCUUCUCAAAAACUCCACCUCAGCCUCGUACUGACUUGUCUUGAAAUUGUUUUGGGACUGGAGAGAUGGCCCAGUGGUUAAGAGCACUAAGUGCUCUUCCGAAGGUCCUGAGUACAAAUCCUAGAAACCACAUGGUGGCUCACAACCAUCUGUAACAAGAUCUGAUGUCCUCUUCUGGCGUGUCUGAAGACAGCUACAGUGUACUUACAUAUGAUAAAUAAAUAAAUCUUUAAAAAAA
This is a long non-coding RNA of Mus musculus (house mouse), 1469 nucleotides long. RefSeq annotates it as predicted gene, 41429. The record is from RefSeq and is a predicted model, not a curated record. Lineage: Eukaryota; Metazoa; Chordata; Mammalia; Rodentia; Muridae. The transcript is spliced from 3 exons.